Regulatory RNA element from Roseovarius albus, 100 nucleotides. It matches the Rfam family "Pyrrolysine insertion sequence mttB". NCBI's taxonomy places the organism in Bacteria, Pseudomonadati, Pseudomonadota, Alphaproteobacteria, Rhodobacterales, Roseobacteraceae. The record is from Rfam.
AUGACGGACGCCAAAACCGCCGAUACUCAGGCGGGAUAUGAGAAGGGCUAUACCAUUGCUUUGGCCGCGCAGGCCGGGGCCGACAUGAUCAACUUAUCGG